This 345-nucleotide ribosomal RNA is filed under the name Blastocystis sp. A20. RNAcentral's name for it is "bacterial SSU rRNA". It matches the Rfam family "Eukaryotic small subunit ribosomal RNA", at positions 526 to 877 of the family's 1831-position model. Lineage: Eukaryota; Bigyra; Opalinata; Blastocystidae. The record is from RNAcentral.
UACAAACCUUAUCGAUAAACAAUUGGAGGGCAAGUCUGGUGCCAGCAGCCGCGGUAAUUCCAGCUCCAAUAGCGUAUAUUAACGUUGUUGCAGUUAAAAAGCUCGUAGUUGAAAUGAAGGGUAGUUGUGUAAUGAAUACAUUCGUGUAUUUUGUUAUUCUACUACCCUCCUUCUAAAUUCGAUAUAUGAGUAUUAAUUUACUUGUAUAUGGUUUUAGACGUUUACUGUGAGAAAAUUAGAGUGUUCAAAGCAGGCAUUUGCUUGAAUAUAUUAGCAUGGAAUAAUCAUGUAUGAUUUUCAUGAUGUAUUUGAUUGGUUUGGUUCAUGAGAAUAAGAUUAAAAGGG